AUACGUAGGGGGCAAGCGUUGUCCGGAAUUACUGGGCGUAAAGAGCUCGUAGGCGGCUCAGCAAGUCGGUCGUGAAAGCCCGAGGCUCAACCUCGGAACUGCGGUCGAUACUGCUGUGGCUAGAGUCCGGUAGAGGAGAGUGGAAUUCCCGGUGUAGCGGUGGAAUGCGCAGAUAUCGGGAGGAACACCAGUGGCGAAGGCGACUUUCUGGACUGUAACUGACGCUGAGGCACGAAAGCGUGGGGAGCGAACAGGAUUAGAUACCCGAGUAGUCC
This 275-nucleotide ribosomal RNA is filed under the name uncultured bacterium. RNAcentral describes it as "partial 16S ribosomal RNA". It matches the Rfam family "Bacterial small subunit ribosomal RNA", at positions 523 to 796 of the family's 1533-position model. The record is from RNAcentral.